Non-coding RNA from Acanthosepion pharaonis, 89 nucleotides. NCBI's taxonomy places the organism in Eukaryota, Metazoa, Mollusca, Cephalopoda, Sepiida, Sepiidae. The record is from the annotation of a GenBank genome assembly.
CUGGUCUUGUACGAUCAGCAAAGUUAAGCAAUGUUGAGCCUCGUCAGUACCUAGAUGAGUGACCGCUUGGGAAUGCCAAGUGUUGUAAG